GCCUGAAAUCUAAGUCUGAAGAAUCUGGUCUCGCUUGCUCAACCUGUUACUGAAGGAAGGGUUAAAGAAAAACGAUAUAGCAAGACACUGAGGACUCCGAAAGACAGAUUCAGGAAGACAAGAGGGACAGAAAGAGACCUUAAAGAUGUCCGUGUGAGGGAAAUGGACACAGUUAAAUCCAGUAAUCCAUCAAAAGGACCAGAACUGAACAAUGUCAUGGCCCCAGAGGAAACUGCCGCCGGUGACAAGAGUGACAGACAGCGGGAGGAAGAGAAAGAGGCAGACACAGACACUCCUGAUGGAUUUGUUGCAGUACCAUCAGGCGCUCAGCUGAGGGCACAAGAGAAGCACAGAGACAACACUGUAGGCUACCAGAAAAAGAAGCAGAGGGCAGCUGUGGACUUUUCUACAGUGAGCAAGGGAACAUCUGCCAGGGUGAAGAGCAGAGGUGCAUUAAAGCAGGCACUUUUUAGCCAGGGAGUGUCUGACAAAAAUGGC
This 498-nucleotide long non-coding RNA is filed under the name Sinocyclocheilus grahami. RNAcentral describes it as "lncRNA (ENSSGRG00000029831.1)". Lineage: Eukaryota; Metazoa; Chordata; Actinopteri; Cypriniformes; Cyprinidae. The record is from RNAcentral.